This 21-nucleotide non-coding RNA is filed under the name Caenorhabditis elegans. The record is from RNAcentral. Lineage: Eukaryota; Metazoa; Nematoda; Chromadorea; Rhabditida; Rhabditidae.
UUCAUCCGCGAUUCCGUUUUU